AUAUUGGGCGUAAGGGCUCGCAGGCGGUUUCUUAAGUCUGAUGUGAAAGCCCCCGGCUCAACCGGGGAGGGUCAUUGGAAACUGGGAAACUUGAGUGCAGAAGAGGAGAGUGGAAUUCCACGUGUAGCGGUGAAAUGCGUAGAGAUGUGGAGGAACACCAGUGGCGAAGGCGACUCUCUGGUCUGUAACUGACGCUGAGGAGCGAAAGCGUGGGGAGCGAACAGGAUUAGAUACCCUGGUAGUCCACGCCGUAAACGAUGAGUGCUAAGUGUUAGGGGGUUUCCGCCCCUUAGUGCUGCAGCUAACGCAUUAAGCACUCCGCCUGGGGAGUACGGUCGCAAGACUGAAACUCAAAGGAAUUGACGGGGGCCCGCACAAGCGGUGGAGCAUGUGGUUUAAUUCGAAGCAACGCGAAGAACCUUACCAGGUCUUGACAUCCUCUGACAACCCUAGAGAUAGGGCUUUCCCUUCGGGGACAGAGUGACAGGUGGUGCAUGGUUGUCGUCAGCUCGUGUCGUGAGAUGUUGGGUUAAGUCCCGCAACGAGCGCAACCCUUGAUCUUAGUUGCCAGCAUUCAGUUGGGCACUCUAAGGUGACUGCCGGUGACAAACCGGAGGAAGGUGGGGAUGACGUCAAAUCAUCAUGCCCCUUAUGACCUGGGCUACACACGUGCUACAAUGGACAGAACAAAGGGCUG
This 697-nucleotide ribosomal RNA is filed under the name Bacillus pumilus. Its description in RNAcentral is "bacterial SSU rRNA". It matches the Rfam family "Bacterial small subunit ribosomal RNA", at positions 551 to 1249 of the family's 1533-position model. The record is from RNAcentral. Lineage: Bacteria; Bacillati; Bacillota; Bacilli; Caryophanales; Bacillaceae.